This 28-nucleotide small RNA is filed under the name Bombyx mori (domestic silkworm). Its description in RNAcentral is "ovarian small RNA-6251". Lineage: Eukaryota; Metazoa; Arthropoda; Insecta; Lepidoptera; Bombycidae. The record is from RNAcentral.
UAGAAGCAAAGUAGUGCGAUUUGAAUCU